AGUGAACGCUGGCGGCGUGCCAAAUACAUGCAAGUCGAACGAAGUGGCGCACGGGUGAGUAAUAUAUAGUUAAUCUGCACUACACAGAGGAACAACAGUUGGACACGACUGCUAAUACCUCAUAGUGUAGGAUGAGACUAUAUCGUAUCAGCUCGUUGGUAAGGUAAUGGCUUACCACGGCUAGGACGCUUAACUGGUCUGAGAGGAUUAUCAGUCACAUUGGAACGGAGACACGUCCCAAACGCCUACGGGAGGCAGCAGUAAGGAAUAUUGCGCAAUGGGGGAAACCCUGACGCAGCAACGCCGCGUGGAGGAUGACACUUUUCGGAGCUUAAACUCCUUUUAUCAGGAAAGCGGUACCUGAUGAAUAAGCACCGGCUAACGCCGUGCCAGCAGCCGCGGUAAUUC
This 408-nucleotide ribosomal RNA is filed under the name uncultured bacterium. RNAcentral's name for it is "partial 16S ribosomal RNA". It matches the Rfam family "Bacterial small subunit ribosomal RNA", at positions 29 to 526 of the family's 1533-position model. The record is from RNAcentral.